This is a long non-coding RNA of Mytilus trossulus (common blue mussel), 353 nucleotides long. RefSeq lists it as uncharacterized. The transcript is spliced from 3 exons. Lineage: Eukaryota; Metazoa; Mollusca; Bivalvia; Mytilida; Mytilidae. The record is from RefSeq and is a predicted model, not a curated record.
AUUGUGUAACUUUCCAUGUGAAUUGAUUGGUAAAACAUUUACGUUGGAGGAUCAGCUUGAUAGAUUUGAUAUAGUUUCAAAUUUGAGUCUUACAUUUAGUGAAUUUAAUAGCUCACAGGCUUCCACGCCAUUUCUAGGAUUCACUCUUGAUCUUACAUGUAUACAGAUUGACGGAUCUCACCUUUUGUUAAAAUGGGCUACACCAGAAGGAGAUUUCUACAAUUGUUUGACAGUGAAGAUUGUAACCCCUGAUGUGUACACAUUUGUCUUUAGAGAUUUUGAAGAAGAUGACGAUUUUUGCAAAGCUUGUUACGAGGCUAAUGAUAAAAACGCCAAUUUUGGCGCAGCUAGAG